This 484-nucleotide ribosomal RNA is filed under the name uncultured bacterium. Its description in RNAcentral is "partial 16S ribosomal RNA". It matches the Rfam family "Bacterial small subunit ribosomal RNA", at positions 30 to 507 of the family's 1533-position model. The record is from RNAcentral.
AUUGAACGCUGGCGGCAGGCCUAACACAUGCAAGUCGAGCGGAUGAAGGGAGCUUGCUCCUGGAUUCAGCGGCGGACGGGUGAGUAAUGCCUAGGAAUCUGCCUGGUAGUGGGGGAUAACGUCCGGAAACGGGCGCUAAUACCGCAUACGUCCUGAUGGAGAAAGUGGGGGAUCUUCGGACCUCGCGCUAUCAGAUGAGCCUAGGUCGGAUUAGCUAGUUGGUGUGGUAAAGGCUUACCAAGGCGACGAUCCGUAACUGGUCUGAGAGGAUGAUCAGUCACACUGGAACUGAGACACGGUCCAGACUCCUACGGGAGGCAGCAGUGGGGAAUAUUGGACAAUGGGCGAAAGCCUGAUCCAGCAAUGCCGCGUGUGUGAAGAAGGUCUUCGGAUUGUAAAGCACUUUAAGUUGGGAGGAAGGGCAGUAAGUUAAUACCUUGCUGUCUUGACGUUACCAACAGAAUAAGCAACGGCUAACUUCGUG